AAUACAAAUAUAAUUAAAAAGGAAGUAAACACCGUAACCAACAGCUCACUCAGUAUUCUGUGAAGUUUGUAAAAAAAAAAUAAAGCAAUGGUAACCCUCAUUUUACAUACAGCACACAGUGAAAAUUACAUGAAUAUGACAGUGGGUAAAUGCAUAAAGCACUGCACAAUUUGAAAUCACGAGUUUAAAUUUUAAAGCAUUCAAUUCACACGGACUGACUGUCAAACGUUAUGUUUUCUGUAUACAUUAAUUCCUUUGUUUAACCGUUCUAUCGGAUUAUUAGACAGAGUUCUAUCCGCAUUAGACAGAAAUGAUUAAGAAGACGACGAACAAGAGAGAGAGUGAGCACUGUGUGCGCGCCGUCAAAAUAAAAGUCCCGCCUCGAACACAUUGGUCAAGUAGAAAAACUUAUUGGCCGAUGCCGAUGUUUGAAAAAUGCCAAAUAUCGGCCGAUAUAUCGGUGGACCACUAGCAGGAAACAUCUCAAUCUUGGCGGUGUUAUCGGUCCUGUUUUCUCACUGUAUUUGUUUGAGUAUAAAUUUUAGAUCCUGGGCCAAGCUUUUAUUUUGUGUUACAUUUUGAGUCUCUUUUUUUACCAAUAAAGUUGUUGUUUUUUAACAGCAUUUGUAUGUCAGACAUUGAAUAUUUACAUAAAAUAUUAUGUAUUUAUUUUAACAGUGUGCAUGUUUUAUUUUUAUCAAAAAAGUUUUUCUGUAAAGCAGAUGGGUUAAGGAAAGAGGUUGGGAGUAAAGUCUUUUCAUAAACCCUGUAAAAUUAAGCCAUAUAUAAAUAUAUGCAAAUAAACUGAGAUUCUUUGUGAGGUUGUGAGAAGCCGUGCAUAUUCUCCGAGUAGUUUUACAGAUGAGAAACCCUAGAGAAGUCAAUAAACAAACAUUAAAGGGACAUAUGCGUGUGUGGUGUCUGACAAUGAUCCCAAAUAUUAUUUUCAUAACCAGUGCAAAGAACAUUUUAAAUCAUUGCAUAUCAUAUGCAUUAUAAGAAAUCUGUUACAUUUUCACAAGUGUUUGAAUUUUUUUCUUUGUUUCUGUUUUAUUUAAUCGUUUAAAUCGCAUUUUUAUUUUGCAGUGAUGCUCAAAAGAGACAAUAAAAUUAAUAUUUCUGUAUUAA
Molecule: long non-coding RNA, 1128 nt
Organism: Carassius carassius (crucian carp)
Lineage: Eukaryota; Metazoa; Chordata; Actinopteri; Cypriniformes; Cyprinidae
Exons: 2
Source: RefSeq, a predicted model, not a curated record